UACCGGUUGGGAAAGGUGCAACUGCACCGCAGAUGGAGGAGCCCGCGGCGCAUUAGCUAGUUGGUGGGGUAACGGCCUACCAAGGCGACGAUGCGUAGCCGACCUGAGAGGGUGGACGGCCACACUGGGACUGAGACACGGCCCAGACUCCUACGGGAGGCAGCAGUAGGGAAUCUUCCGCAAUGGGCGCAAGCCUGACGGAGCAACGCCGCGUGAGCGAAGAAGGCCUUCGGGUUGUAAAGCUCAGUCACUCGGGAAGAGCGGACGAGGGAGUGGAAAGCCCUCGCCGAGACGGUACCGAGAGAGGAAGCCCCGGCUAACUACGUG
RNAcentral lists this ribosomal RNA (327 nucleotides) under uncultured bacterium. RNAcentral describes it as "bacterial SSU rRNA". It matches the Rfam family "Bacterial small subunit ribosomal RNA", at positions 192 to 507 of the family's 1533-position model. The record is from RNAcentral.